CUUUGCAGAAACGCAGAACUCUCUGUGCUGGUUCAGCAGCUCCUGCGUUUCGGCCGCCGUUGCCCCCGGUGACGUGUGCGUGGCCAGGUAAUGGUCACCUGACUGCUGCAGCCAUUCAAGAGCCUGGAAACGAACAGAUUGAAAUUUAGAGAUUCAUAGAAAGUUACAACUGUCUUUGUUUGUUGGGCUUCUGCUAAAAAAUGCACAUUUUCUGCUCCUUUUUUAUCAUUAUUAAUGCAAUAUUAAAAAUAUUGUAAUGAUUUCUAAGCAAGAUAUUUACACAAACUGAGGAAAAGCAGCAGCUUACAUUAGUUCAGAAGCACCAGAGGGAUGAUUCUGAGAUAUUUUGAUCAUUUCUGGGUUUACCUGCUGGGCGUGGUUCUGGAACAUCAGGUACUGCUGGCACUGGUCCAGUCUGCGUUUCUUCAGCGUCCAGAAAUGAAGAACUCUGUUUUCUCUCUGGAGAAGCUCGCUGAGGAUUCCUGAGCACAAAGAAGCAUCUCUGUCAGCUAAACUACCUCCAAAAUCCCUAACUAUAGAAGCCAGUUAUCUGUGGCGUCCCUCUGGGCUCUGUUUUGGUUACACUCUUUAUUUUGACAAUAUGUGGAUUAUUUCUGUUUCUGUGAACCUUUGACUUGCUGCUCCGGCACUCUGGAGUGCCUGGUGACCUCGGUGACCCCCAUCACCGCGGAGACGGUGACGUUGUGGCCAGAGAUGUUGGCCAUGGUGACGCUGUUUCGAUGGAUGUACUUGAGGAAGACCUCCGCGUUGCGUCUGGCCAGCGUACACGCCUGUCGCAGAAGAAACAGAUCUGGUAGAGCUUGUUUCCAGAAAACAUGGAACCAGGAGGAACUCCUCAGUAAAACACAGAAUUGAAGUUAAUCCAAAGGGAAAGCCUCCUUCUGCUCCAUGUGUUUGCUGAUGAGCGGCAGCAGCUGCUCCGGCUGCCGCUCUCCUCCUGCACACCAGUCCUCCUCCCGGCGGUACUCCUGCUCCAGACUCUCCAGGACGCCACACACCUGCAUCAGCGUCUGCCAGUGCAGCGCCACCGUCUGGGCGCAGGCCCUCACUGCAUCCGGGUCGUAAUGGCCUGACCUGUGCAGAAGCAGAGACUUCCUGGUGAGCGGGUCCGUCCAGCGUUCAUGGAGGAAAUUCUGCGUCGUACCUGACGAGCAGCUCGGCUCGCUGCUGCAGAGCCAGCGCCACCUGGUGGGUUCUCUGCAGGGAGUCUGCAUGCAGCAGAGCCUGCAACACAGCUAACCUCGAUGGUCUGUUGGAGGCGCUCAUGCUCCCGCUGCAGCUGCUCGGCUUCAGACAGACAGCUGGAGUUCAGCAUGCAGGAGGACAGCUUCAUCUCCCCCUCAGAGAUCCAGCCCAGCACCUGAGAGAGGCACACACACACACACACACACA
Molecule: long non-coding RNA, 1413 nt
Organism: Xiphophorus hellerii (green swordtail)
Lineage: Eukaryota; Metazoa; Chordata; Actinopteri; Cyprinodontiformes; Poeciliidae
Exons: 4
Source: RefSeq, a predicted model, not a curated record